GUGGAUCGGGAGGGUCAAUAGUUAUCCUCUCAAGUGAGCCUGCAGCAGCCUUCAUUAAAUGGCUAAAGAGCUAGACUUCAUUCCUGCACCCCAGCCAACCCCGGAACUCCACCUUCUUGAGGCAUUUGCACUUGCGUCCUUUCGCCAGCUGCUGAUGCCUUUCUCCAAACUCGACAACAGAUUUCAAGAAGCGAGGAUUGCAUCUCCAGUUCUCCACAUUUGGAC
Molecule: long non-coding RNA, 225 nt
Filed under: Coffea arabica (coffee)
Lineage: Eukaryota; Viridiplantae; Streptophyta; Magnoliopsida; Gentianales; Rubiaceae
Description: long non-coding RNA (CARA_LNC007534)
Source: RNAcentral